AUUCCAGCUCCAAUAGCGUAUAUUAAAGUUGUUGUGGUUAAAAAGCUCGUAGUUGGAUCUCGGCGGACUGAGGGCGGUUUGCUUGCUAGUAUUACUGCCCUAUAGUCCGUAGUUUUGCCAGAGGUUUCGAGGUGCUCUUAAUCGAGUGUCCCGGGAUGCUGGCAGGUUUACUUUGAAAAAAUUAGAGUGCUCAAAGCAGGCUAUUACGCCUGAAUAUUCGUGCAUGGAAUAAUAGAAUAGGAAGUCGUUUCUAUUUUGUUGGUUUUCGGAAAUCGACUUAAUGAUUAAUAGGGAUAGUCGGGGGCAUUCGUAUUCAAACGACAGAGGUGAAAUUCUUGGACCGUUUGAAGACGAACUAAGGCGAAAGCAUUUGCCAAGAAUGUUUUCAUUG
Molecule: ribosomal RNA, 391 nt
Filed under: Calanus sp.
Lineage: Eukaryota; Metazoa; Arthropoda; Copepoda; Calanoida; Calanidae
Description: partial small subunit ribosomal RNA
Rfam family: Eukaryotic small subunit ribosomal RNA
Source: RNAcentral